GACGAACGCUGGCGGCGUGCUUAACACAUGCAAGUCGAACGGAAAGGCCUGCUUUCCCUUGUGGAUUGCGGGUACUCGAGUGGCGAACGGGUGAGUAACACGUGAGUGAUCUGCCCCCAACUUGGGUAUAAGCCUGGGAAACUGGGUCUAAUUCCCGAUAGGACUGCAGGGUGGUGCCUGUGGUGGAAAACGAUUUUCUAGUGGUUGGGGAUGAGCUCGCGGCCUAUCAGCUUGUUGGUGGGGUAAUGGCCUACCAAGGCGGGGACGGGUAGCCGGCCUGAGAGGGUGGACGGCCACAUUGGGACUGAGAUACGGCCCAGACGCCUACGGGAGGCAGCAGUGGGGAAUAUUGCACAAUGGGCGGAAGCCUGAUGCAGCGACGCCGCGUGGGGGAUGACGGCCUUCGGGUUGUAAACUCCUUUCGACCGCGAGGAAGCCACCUGGUUGGAAGGGUGGUGACGGUAGUGGUAGAAGAAGCACCGGCUAACUACGUG
RNAcentral lists this ribosomal RNA (494 nucleotides) under uncultured bacterium. RNAcentral describes it as "partial 16S ribosomal RNA". It matches the Rfam family "Bacterial small subunit ribosomal RNA", at positions 28 to 507 of the family's 1533-position model. The record is from RNAcentral.